GCCAAGUUGGUUUAACACAAAGUUAAGUGAGCCUUUUCAUUCAUCAUUUAUGGUGCCGGUUAAUCAGCAAAUUCGUGGCUUAAGUUUUUGCUUCGUGUAUACAUGUUCAGAGAGUAAGGAAACUGUAUCUGAGGGAUUUUUACCAUGCAUUUCAAUCUCUAACUUGUCGCAAACAAUGAAUUGGAAGCAAGAUCCUUUGUUCAUAGGUAUUCCUGAAGGUGAUCAAGAGCGGAUGAUGUGGUUAAGUUAUUGGGAGAUCGGA
This 262-nucleotide unclassified non-coding RNA is filed under the name Hevea brasiliensis (rubber tree). Lineage: Eukaryota; Viridiplantae; Streptophyta; Magnoliopsida; Malpighiales; Euphorbiaceae. The record is from RNAcentral.